This 465-nucleotide ribosomal RNA is filed under the name uncultured bacterium. Its description in RNAcentral is "bacterial SSU rRNA". It matches the Rfam family "Bacterial small subunit ribosomal RNA", at positions 330 to 794 of the family's 1533-position model. The record is from RNAcentral.
UCCAGACUCCUACGGGAGGCAGCAGUGAGGAAUAUUGGUCAAUGGGCGAGAGCCUGAACCAGCCAAGUCGCGUGAGGGAGUACUGCCCUAUGGGUUGUAAACCUCUUUUGUCGGGGAGCAAAAGCCGGACGUGUCCGGCUGUGAGAGUACCCGAAGAAAAAGCAUCGGCUAACUCCGUGCCAGCAGCCGCGGUAAUACGGAGGAUGCGAGCGUUAUCCGGAUUUAUUGGGUUUAAAGGGUGCGCAGGCGGAGGUGCAAGUCAGCGGUCAAAUUGCGGGGCUCAACCCCGUACUGCCGUUGAAACUGCAUCCCUUGAGUGCGCGAGAAGUAUGCGGAAUGCGUGGUGUAGCGGUGAAAUGCAUAGAUAUCACGCAGAACUCCGAUUGCGAAGGCAGCUUACUAAACUGCCACUGACAUUGAUGCUCGAAAGUGUGGGUAUCAAACAGGAUUAGAUACCCUCGUAUG